Molecule: long non-coding RNA, 6394 nt
Filed under: Sus scrofa (pig)
Lineage: Eukaryota; Metazoa; Chordata; Mammalia; Artiodactyla; Suidae
Description: lncRNA (ENSSSCG00060074883.1)
Source: RNAcentral
UUUCCUCUUGUGGUUUCAUGACUAUCUUUAGUGUUACAUUUGAGUUGACUUUUUAUUUGUGUAUCAAUUGUAGAUUUUUGGUGUGCAGUUACCCUGAAGUUUUGAUAUAGGAGUCUAUAUAUAUACAUGAGAUUGUUUUAAGUUGUUGGUCUCUUAAACUGCAAGUGCAUCUCCAUCUGCAAGUGCAUCUCCAUUUUCCUACAUUUGCACCCACCUCUUCUCGUGAUUUCUGAUUUUAGCAGCAUAUUUGUGCAUGGAUGAUUUCCUACCUUUACUGUACAUAUGCCUUUCCUGGGGAGCCUUGUCAUUCGUGGCAUUUUUGUUUCUGGUUGUGGCCUUUUCUUUUCUGCCUAGAGAAGUUCCUUUAGUAUUUGUUGUAAAGCUGGUUUAGGGUUGCUGAAUUCUCUUAGCUUUGGCUUAUCUGUAAAGCUUUUGAUUUCUCCUUCAAAUCUGAAUGAGAGCCUUGCUGGAUAAAGUCAUCUUGGUUGGAGGUUUCUUCCUUUCAUCAGGUUAAGUAUGUCGUGCCAGUCCCUUCUGGCCUGCAGAGUUUCUGCUGAAAAAUCUGCUGAUAACCUUAUCAGGGUUCCCUUGUAUGUUCUUUGUUUGUUUUCCCUAGCUGCUUUCAGUAUUUUUUCUUUGUCUUGAAUUUUGGUCAGUUUGGUUCAUAUGUUUCUCGGGGUGUUCUGCCUUGGGUUUAUUUUCUAUGGUACUUAUAGUGCUUCCUGGAUUUGAGCUAAGUGGUUCCUUUCCUGUGUUAGUUUUUGGCUAUUAUCUUUUGGACUUUUUUCUGUCCCCUUUUCUCUCUCUUCUCCUUCUGGCACCCCUAUAAUAUGGAUGUUGGUGUGUUUAAUGUUGUCCCAGAGUUCUCUGAGACUGUUUUCAUUUCUUUUCCAUUAUUUUUCUCUUUUCUGUUCUGCAUCAGUGAGGUGGAUCAGUGACCUCCACCUUGCUUAUUCGUUCUUCUGCCUCCUGUAUUCUGCUGUUGGUUGCUUCUAAUGAAUGUUUUAUUUCAGUUAUUGUAUUUUUCAUCUCUGCUUGCUUAAGUUUUAAAUCUUGUAUUUCUUUGCUCAGUGUUUCCUGUAAAUUAUCAGUCUCUGCCUCCAGUUUACUUCCAGUGUCUCGCAUCAUCUUCAGCAUCAUCAGUCUAAAGUCUUUUUCCUGGAGGCUGAUAAUCUCCAGAGCACUUAGCUGUUUUUCCGAGACUUUUUCUUGUUCCCUCAUCUGUGUUAUAAUUCUCUGCCUUUUCAUAUUUAUAGGUUUUUGGUGUGGUCUUUUUUUGCAGACAAUAGAGUUGAAGCCUCUCUUAUUUCUGAUGUCUGCCCCCCUUGUGGCUGAAGUUGGUAUGGGGGGCUUGCUAUAGGCUUCCUGAUGUGAGAGACUGGUGCCUGCCUACUGGUAGGUAGGGAUGAUGCCUAUCCCUCUGGUGGGUGGGGCUUUGUCCCUGUGUGCCUGGUGGGUCUUUAGACAGCCUGUUUACCAAUGGCUGGGUCUGUGAUCCCACCUAGAUUAUUGUUUGGUCUGGGGCUUCUCAGAGCUGAUGGGUGGGACCAGAUUUUCCCAAAACUGCCACCUCUAGAGGAAUACAAGCUGAUGACUAUUCCCAAGAGCUUUGCCUCCAAUGUCCUUCCCCCACAAUGAGCCACAGUCACCCCGUUUUCCCAAGAAAUCCUCCAAGAACUGCAGUCAGGUCCAACCCAGAUUCCUAUGGGGCCUCUGCUUUGCCCUGGGACCCAGUGCACAUGAAAACCUGUGUGCGCCUUUCAAGAAUGGGAUCUCCCUGGAGUUCCCGUCAUGGCUCAGUGGUUAACGAAUCUGACUAGGAACCAUGAGGUUGCGGGUUCGAUCCCUGGCCUUGCUCAGUGGGUUAAGGAUCUGGCGUUGCCGUGAGCUGUGGUGUAGGUUGCAGAUGUGGCUCGGAUCCCAUGUUGCUGUGGCUCUGGUGUAGGCCGGCGGCUACAGCUCUGAUUCGACCCCUACCUGGGAACCUCCAUAUGCCACGGGUGCACCCCUACAAUGCAAAAAAAAAAAAAAAAACAAAACCCAAAAAAACCUGACCAGUUUGUAUGCAGGAGUGAAAGAGAAGAGGUCAAAAAUUUGAGGACUUGAUGAAGAGUGCUUCUCGACUCAAAGCAUAAAUUAAAAAAUCAAGAAGGCCUCUGAGGAACAAAAGAGGGUACGGCUGAAGCUAAGGCAGGGUCCUGAUACCCACAGUUAAAACAUCUGAAUGGAUUAGAGCCUCAGAGCAGAGACCCACAGAAAAGUGGACACACAAUAAAUGCUCUCAGUUGAAUAAAAUGUUUGGGGGAAAAGAGACAGAGACAGAGCAGCUCUUCCAGCAGGCCUCUAGUAUUAGCAUUAAGGAUCUAGAUCCCUAUAAAGAACUCAAGAGGACAGGCUACCUUGCAUAGUGAGCUAAAAGGAACCACCAGAAGCCUACAAAGUUGUGCUGCCAAGAAACAAGGAAAAACCAUGAGCCCAGAUUAAAAUCAAUUGACUUAAAAGUACACUCACGUCUCCUAUCUUCUAUGUGCAAGCAGCAGCCCGUGAGGCACUUCGGCUCCCAAAAGGCUUAUCCUCCAACAUCUACUUGAGAUGAGGCUAAAGAAGACGAUGGAAAGGAGGAAUCUCCUAGAUUCAAUAUCUGGACCCACAAAACCCAGACAGUUGUCUGGUACCCAGAUAAGAAUAUUCCCCACAUCCAGGGGAAGAGGACCUUAUAAUGCCAGCCUGGUGGGAUCUGUGAGUUGCUCCAGGUUAGGGACUGCUGUGUUUCCAUUAUCCGAAGGGGAUGUUUGCUGCGGUUAUCAGGCCUCUGUUAUUCCAACGUAUGAUGAAUGUGUGUGUGGUGGGGGGAGGGGUGCAGAUAAAUGUUUUCACUCACAGAUCUCCAGAUGAAGAGAAAGCAUAUCCAGACCUGAUGUAGAGAAUUAUGUGUAUCACCUGGAAAUCCUAAUACUUUCAGCUUGUUACUCCUUAGCUGGGCCUUGCAGGAUGGGUUCACUGGGGAGGAGAUGAAUACAUUUUGUCUGUGGGAAGGAACAGUGAGCCAACUCUUUGGCUGACCAGAAGGGCAGUAUCUGUCUAUUACUAUUGUCUGUGAAAUAUUUUUUUGUUGUUGUUGUUCUUUUCCAUCUGGUCAUAUGGCAGGAUUGUAUCUCCUGGUCAACUAUAUGGUGAGGUAGAGCCAUGUAACUUGUUCUGGCCAGUGAACUGUGAGCUGAGGUGACACAGAACCUCAUGCCUGGCUUCUAGCCAUAGCAUCUGAAUAAAUGAUACAGGAUAUGAGCUCUCCCAGCGCUCUUUAUUAUAAUGUCCAGCAAUGUUCAGAAUGGAGGUGGUCCCGUCAGCUGGAUCCUGGAGUGAGGUCAUGUAGAACAGAACACCCAUAGCAACCCAGCAGACGAUGCAGUGCCAGAAUAAAGCUACCAAGAUUUCAGGACUGUAUGUUUACAUUAUAACCUUGCCGAUCUUGUCUGAUAAAUAGAGGAAAACCCUUAGAGCCACUCAACAUUUGAGUCCGAGGCAGGUUAAUAGAUCAACUAGUUCAAGUUUCUUCUACAAAUGAUAAACAUGAGGUCUACAGUUAAGUGACCUGUCUAAUCACACAGUAACCACAUGGUAGAAGAAUCAUUAUCCUCAUGUAAUUCUAAAUUACAAUGGGAGUUAUGUUCCUAAUCUCUAAACACAGCUCUGGGACAGACUGAACUAAAAACAUAUGAAUAAAUUAGCAAUGGGCCAAUCCAGUCAUUCACUCAACAGAUAAUGGAAGCAUUAAGCACCAAUGCUAAAGGUACCUGGAGCUCAGAAUUAUGUAGUAAAGGCUAAUCAAAACACUACACACAGGGUGGGGGAAAAAUGUAAUUGUAAUGUAUACAUGUAAGGAUAACCUAACCCUCUUGCUGUACAGUGGGAAAAUAAAAAAAAUUAUGUAAAAAAAAAAUUAAAAAAAAAAAUAAAAAAAAAAAAAAAAAAAAAAACCACUACACAUACGGGAGUUCCAUAUGUGUUGGAUUAAGAAUCCAACCUCAAGGAGUUCCCGUAGUGGCUCAGCAGAACCGAAUCCAACUAGCAACCAUGAAGUUGCGGGUUCAAUCCCUGGCCUUGGUCAGUGGGUUAAGGAUCUAGCAUCGCUGUAAGCUGUAGGUCGCAGACAAGGCUCGGAUCUUGUGUUGCUGUGGCGUCAGCUCUGAUUCAACCCCUAGCCUAGAAAUUUCUAUAUGCCUCAGGUGCAGCCCUGAAAAGGAAAAAAAAAAAUGUAUCCAACUGCAGUGGCUCAGGUCACUGCGGGGGCAUGGGUUUGAUCCCUGGCCCAGUGCAGUGGGUUAAAGGAGCUGGCAUUGCCACAGCUGUGGCUCAGAUCCUGGCCUGGAAACUUCCACAUGCCUCUGCUGUGGCCAUUAAAAAAAAAAAAAAAACAACCUAGAAUGGAAGUUUACAACAGUAACUGCUAGGAAAGAUACAUUAUGGGAGCAUGUAACAGACCUAUCCUAAUGGGUAGAUAGAUAUCUAAGAAGUGACCUUGAACUGAGAUCUGGGGGAUCAGCAGGAGAUUACCAUACCAACCCGCAGAGGAAUACUUUCAGUACAUGCUAAUAAAUAAGAAAUGAUCCAAAUGAUCCUGUGAUUGAAGGAACCUGGAGGCUUUAGAGGCGCAAAAAGGAGGCAAGGGCCAGAUUACAAAUUCUGUAAGGCCUCAUAUAUAAUCCACUUUAAGAGCAAUAGGAACCCUUUACAGGUCUUGAGCAGGAAGUGACACAAUGAGAUUUCAGUUUUCAAAAGACCACUGGUUGUGUAAAUACCCAGGAAGGCAGCAACUGCAGUCUUCAGAAGACUCAUUAGAAAGGUACUGAAAUCCAGGCAAGAAAUGUUAUCCCUGAAUUAGGGACAUGGCACUAAAGAUGAUUACAUAUGAACUAUUUAAGAAAUUAAACACCAGUACACUGGAAUUUUAUUCAGGAUAUUUUAAAACUCCUGCUAGCUGAUCUCAACUUUCAUCCUAGUUCUCUUAUUUCUCCACUGUGGUAUACAGUAAAUCCAAAUACAUUAAACCAAGUGAAAGGACAGCAUACACCAAUACCAUAUGGCUAGACUACUAUUUAUUUCACAAGGAUGCCUCUCCAAAGGCUCCAGCAACACUUUUAGAAGAUAUAUAUAUUCUAUUAUUUCCCAAAUGAUAAGGCAGGCUACUUAGUGAAAACUUGCUAGAACAGAUCGUAGAAAUCAGAUUUUAAAAUUCAAAUUUAAUAUUUAUUCCAGGAAGGACUUAAAAUGCUUGGGUCCAGAAACAAAGGAACAUUAUAGUUUUCAAAUUGGAGUCUUGCUCGUGAUAUAAUUUAUAAGGCGUCCUUUAGAAAUAAGAGUUGUAAAUAUGAGCAAAAAUUAAUAUUCAACUGAGAAAUUUCAUACGGAAAAAAUGCAGUCCUAAAAAUAAGAAGACCAGGAAAAAAAAGUUAAUUCUAUCUCCAGCAUUUCUUUAUUCUGUUCAUCUUCAAAAAAAAAGAACAGGGGAGUUUGCAUCAUGGCGCAGUGGAUACGAAUAGGACUAGCAACCAUGAGGUAGCGGGUUCGAUCUCUGGCCUUGCUCAGGGGGUUAAGGAUCCAGCACUGCCGUGAGCUGUGGUGUAGGUCGCAGACACGGCUCAGAUCUGGUGUUGUUGUGGCUGUGCCAAAGGCUGACAGCUGUAGCUUGGAUUAGACCUCUAGCCUGGGAACUUCCAUAUGCCGACGGUGUGACCCUAAAAAGACAAAAAGACAAAAAGAAAAGAAAAGAAAAAAAAAAAAGAACAAAAAUGGUUCACUGCUAUAAAAAGAUAGGAGGAAUUUAUGUAUUCUACAAAAUCACAGUAGGAAAGUUCAGACAAAGCAGAACUCACCAGAUGUUUUUAAAUGGUGUACAGAAAAAACCCAAGACAAAGGAAUCAAGGAAUGUAUUUUUAUGAAAUUGAUUCUAUGAUACUUUCUGAUACACAGAAAAAAGACCACUUUCAUUUUAUUAGAAUUGCAUUACAAAGGAAAAAUUCACCAAGGGAAAAAAAAUUUAUAUAGAAUUUUCACAGUGUCAAGAGGCCUCUGUGAAAACUGAAAAGGAAACUUCAAAGAAGAUAAUAAAAAGAAAAUUGCAACCAAAAUAUUGGUUUUCAAGAUACUUUCAAAUCAGAGAGAAAUAAUUUUAAGGCAAAAAUUUUGGAGGAAAAUAACUGAUUUUGAUUUUGCAUGAUUUUACCUGUAUUUACCUCAGAUGAGGGGACUAAAAAGAGAUGACUUUGGAGUUCACACUGUGGUGCAGUGGGUUAAGAAUCUGAGUGGAGUGGCCUGGGUCGCCGCAGAGGCCCAGGUUUGGAUACCCAGCCUGGUGCAAUGGGUUAAAGGAUCCAGUGUUUGGAUUCAAUCCCUG